RNAcentral lists this unclassified non-coding RNA (386 nucleotides) under Escherichia coli. RNAcentral's name for it is "C0362 small RNA". Lineage: Bacteria; Pseudomonadati; Pseudomonadota; Gammaproteobacteria; Enterobacterales; Enterobacteriaceae. The record is from RNAcentral.
AACUUUAAGCUGAAAAUGGCGCUGUAAAAGGCGCCAUUUUCAUAUUGUAGACAACGUAGGCUUUGUUCAUGCCGGAUGCGGCGUGAACGCCUUAUCCGGCAUGAAAACCCUUCAAAUCCAAUAGAUUGCAGUGAACGUGUAGGCCUGAUAAGCGUAGCGCAUCAGGCAAUGUUGCGUUUGUCAUCAGUUUCAAAUGGCGCUGUAAAAGGCGUCAUUUUCAUAUUGUAGACAACGUAGGCUUUGUUCAUGCCGGAUGCGGCGUGAACGCCUUAUCCGGCAUGAAAACCCUUCAAAUCCAAUAGAUUGCAGUGAACGUGUAGGCCUGAUAAGCGUAGCGCAUCAGGCAAUGUUGCGUUUGUCAUCAGUUCUAAAUGGCGCUUUAUAAA